UUGAAGGUUGGGUAACACUAACUGGAGGACCGAACCGACUAAUGUUGAAAAAUUAGCGGAUGACCUGUGGCUGGGGGUGAAAGGCCAAUCAAACCGGGAGAUAGCUGGUUCUCCCCGAAAGCUAUUUAGGUAGCGCCUCGUGAAUUCAUCUCCGGGGGUAGAGCACUGUUUCGGCUAGGGGGCCAUCCCGGCUUACCAACCCGAUGCAAACUGCGAAUACCGGAGAAUGUUAUCACGGGAGACACACGGCGGGUGCUAACGUCCGUCGUGAAGAGGGAAACAACCCAGACCGCCAGCUAAGGUCCCAAAGUCAUGGUUAAGUGGGAAACGAUGUGGGAAGGCCCAGACAGCCAGGAUGUUGGCUUAGAAGCAGCCAUCAUUUAAAGAAAGCGUAAUAGCUCACUGGUCGAGUCGGCCUGCGCGGAAGAUGUAACGGGGCUAAACCAUGCACCGAAGCUGCGGCAGCGACGCUGAUGCGUUGUUGGGUAGGGGAGCGUUCUGUAAGCCUGCGAAGGUGGCCUGUGAGGGUUGCUGGAGGUAUCAGAAGUGCGAAUGCUGACAUAAGUAACGAUAAAGCGGGUGAAAAGCCCGCUCGCCGGAAGACCAAGGGUUCCUGUCCAACGUUAAUCGGGGCAGGGUGAGUCGACCCCUAAGGCGAGGCCGAAAGGCGUAGUCGAUGGGAAACGGGUUAAUAUUCCCGUACUUGGUGUUACUGCGAAGGGGGGACGGAGAAGGCUAUGUUGGCCGGGCGACGGUUGUCCCGGUUUAAGCGUGUAGGUGUGUGUUCCAGGUAAAUCCGGUUCACUUUAACACUGAGGCGUGACGACGAGGCACUACGGUGCUGAAGCAACAAAUGCCCUGCUUCCAGGAAAAGCCUCUAAGCAUCAGGUAACAUCAAAUCGUACCCCAAACCGACACAGGUGGUCAGGUAGAGAAUACCAAGGCGCUUGAGAGAACUCGGGUGAAGGAACUAGGCAAAAUGGUGCCGUAACUUCGGGAGAAGGCACGCUGACACGUAGGUGAAGUGAUUUACUCAUGGAGCUGAAGUCAGUCGAAGAUACCAGCUGGCUGCAACUGUUUAUUAAAAACACAGCACUGUGCAAACACGAAAGUGGACGUAUACGGUGUGACGCCUGCCCGGUGCCGGAAGGUUAAUUGAUGGGGUCAGCGCAAGCGAAGCUCCUGAUCGAAGCCCCGGUAAACGGCGGCCGUAACUAUAACGGUCCUAAGGUAGCGAAAUUCCUUGUCGGGUAAGUUCCGACCUGCACGAAUGGCGUAAUGAUGGCCAGGCUGUCUCCACCCGAGACUCAGUGAAAUUGAACUCGCUGUGAAGAUGCAGUGUACCCGCGGCAAGACGGAAAGACCCCGUGAACCUUUACUAUAGCUUGACACUGAACAUUGAGCCUUGAUGUGUAGGAUAGGUGGGAGGCUUUGAAGUGUGGACGCCAGUCUGCAUGGAGCCGACCUUGAAAUACCACCCUUUAAUGUUUGAUGUUCUAACGUGGACCCGUGAUCCGGGUUGCGGACAGUGUCUGGUGGGUAGUUUGACUGGGGCGGUCUCCUCCUAAAGAGUAACGGAGGAGCACGAAGGUUGGCUAAUCCUGGUCGGACAUCAGGAGGUUAGUGCAAUGGCAUAAGCCAGCUUGACUGCGAGCGUGACGGCGCGAGCAGGUGCGAAAGCAGGUCAUAGUGAUCCGGUGGUUCUGAAUGGAAGGGCCAUCGCUCAACGGAUAAAAGGUACUCCGGGGAUAACAGGCUGAUACCGCCCAAGAGUUCAUAUCGACGGCGGUGUUUGGCACCUCGAUGUCGGCUCAUCACAUCCUGGGGCUGAAGUAGGUCCCAAGGGUAUGGCUGUUCGCCAUUUAAAGUGGUACGCGAGCUGGGUUUAGAACGUCGUGAGACAGUUCGGUCCCUAUCUGCCGUGGGCGCUGGAGAACUGAGGGGGGCUGCUCCUAGUACGAGAGGACCGGAGUGGACGCAUCACUGGUGUUCGGGUUGUCAUGCCAAUGGCACUGCCCGGUAGCUAAAUGCGGAAGAGAUAAGUGCUGAAAGCAUCUAAGCACGAAACUUGCCCCGAGAUGAGUUCUCCCUGAGACUUAGAGUCUCCUGAAGGAACGUUGAAGACGACGACGUUGAUAGGCCGGGUGUGUAAGCGCAGCGAUGCGUUGAGCUAACCGGUACUAAUGAACCGUGAGGCUUAACCUU
Molecule: ribosomal RNA, 2205 nt
Filed under: Salmonella enterica
Lineage: Bacteria; Pseudomonadati; Pseudomonadota; Gammaproteobacteria; Enterobacterales; Enterobacteriaceae
Description: partial 23S ribosomal RNA
Rfam family: Bacterial large subunit ribosomal RNA
Source: RNAcentral